Molecule: ribosomal RNA, 497 nt
Filed under: uncultured bacterium
Lineage: Bacteria
Description: partial 16S ribosomal RNA
Rfam family: Bacterial small subunit ribosomal RNA
Source: RNAcentral
GAUGAACGCUGGCGGCGUGCCUAAUACAUGCAAGUCGAGCGAACAGACGAGGAGCUUGCUCCUUCGACGUUAGCGGCGGACGGGUGAGUAACACGUAGGUAACCUACCUAUAAGACUGGGAUAACUUCGGGAAACCGGAGCUAAUACCGGAUAAUAUUUCGAACCGCAUGGUUCGAUAGUGAAAGAUGGCUUUGCUAUCACUUAUAGAUGGACCUGCGCCGUAUUAGCUAGUUGGUAAGGUAACGGCUUACCAAGGCAACGAUACGUAGCCGACCUGAGAGGGUGAUCAGCCACACUGGAACUGAGACACGGUCCAGACUCCUACGGGAGGCAGCAGUAGGGAAUCUUCCGCAAAGGGCGAAAGCCUGACGGAGCAACGCCGCGUGAGUGAUGAAGGUCUUCGGAUCGUAAAACUCUGUUAUUAGGGAAGAACAAACGUGUAAGUAACUGUGCACGUCUUGACGGUACCUAAUCAGAAAGCCACGGCUAACUACGUG